AUUGAACGCUGGCGGCAGGCCUAACACAUGCAAGUCGAGCGGAUGAAGGGAGCUUGCUCCUGGAUUCAGCGGCGGACGGGUGAGUAAUGCCUAGGAAUCUGCCUGGUAGUGGGGGAUAACGUCCGGAAACGGGCGCUAAUACCGCAUACGUCCUGAGGGAGAAAGUGGGGGAUCUUCGGACCUCACGCUAUCAGAUGAGCCUAGGUCGGAUUAGCUAGUUGGUGGGGUAAAGGCCUACCAAGGCGACGAUCCGUAACUGGUCUGAGAGGAUGAUCAGUCACACUGGAACUGAGACACGGUCCAGACUCCUACGGGAGGCAGCAGUGGGGAUUAUUGGACAAGAGGCGAAAGCCUGAUCCAGACAUGCCGCGUGUGUGAAGAAGGUCUUCGGAUUGUAAAGCACUUUAAGUUGGGAGGAAGGGCAGUAAGUUAAUACCGUGCUGUUUUGACGUUACCAACAGAAUAAGCACCGGCUAACUUCGUGC
RNAcentral lists this ribosomal RNA (485 nucleotides) under uncultured bacterium. RNAcentral's name for it is "partial 16S ribosomal RNA". It matches the Rfam family "Bacterial small subunit ribosomal RNA", at positions 30 to 508 of the family's 1533-position model. The record is from RNAcentral.